RNAcentral lists this long non-coding RNA (509 nucleotides) under Rattus norvegicus (Norway rat). RNAcentral's name for it is "long non-coding RNA NONRATT029815". The record is from RNAcentral. Lineage: Eukaryota; Metazoa; Chordata; Mammalia; Rodentia; Muridae.
GGGCUGUCAGUAGAAUGGGGGACUGAGAGUCAGGCCCACACAAGGACACCUCAGGAGAAAAACCCGUGUGACAGUGUGCCUGGUUCAAAUGCUCGACCUCUUUGUAACAGAGCCAUCGCUUCUCGGCCAGUGAUGAUGUGGUGGUGGAGGAGGAGGGCAUGGGAGGGGAGGCACCAAGGACUCCCUUUACUUUCUUACAAAAGCUGACAUGCAGCCUUAAGAGCUGGCUGGCUCUUUCAGUGCAGAUUAUGAAACGUCCACAGGGCUGGACUUGCCCCACUUCCGCUACAGACCUAAGAGCCUGUGGAGGGAACAGCCAGCUCCGCUCUGAGCCCUGAGCCCGGGCCAGGCCACGUGCUAACUGCUUGACAUCGGGUUCUCUCGUUUAACCCACACGAUUUGGCUAUUUUUGUUCUCAUUUUAAAAAUAAGGUUAUUUGAAACUCAGAGGGAAGGGGGGGGGCGUUCAGGACACGGAUCGGCAAGUGGAUACCAAUGCUCUCUCCUCUC